AUUGAACGCUGGCGGCAUGCUUUACACAUGCAAGUCGGACGGCAGCACAGAGAAGCUUGCUUCUUGGGUGGCGAGUGGCGAACGGGUGAGUAAUAUAUCGGAACGUACCGAGUAAUGGGGAUAACUAAUCGAAAGAUUAGCUAAUACCGCAUAUUCUCUGGGGAGGAAAGCAGGGGAACUUCGGGCCUUGCGGUAUUCGAGCGGCCGAUAUCUGAUUAGCUAGUUGGUGGGGUAAAGGCCUACCAAGGCGACGAUCAGUAGCGGGUCUGAGAGGAUGAUCCGCCACACUGGGACUGAGACACGGCCCAGACUCCUACGGGAGGCAGCAGUGGGGAAUUUUGGACAAUGGGCGCAAGCCUGAUCCAGCCAUGCCGCGUGUCUGAAGAAGGCCUUCGGGUUGUAAAGGACUUUUGUCAGGGAAGAAAAGGCUGUUGCUAAUAUCGACAGCUGAUGACGGUACCUGAAGAAUAAGCACCGGCUAACUACGUG
This 489-nucleotide ribosomal RNA is filed under the name uncultured bacterium. Its description in RNAcentral is "partial 16S ribosomal RNA". It matches the Rfam family "Bacterial small subunit ribosomal RNA", at positions 30 to 507 of the family's 1533-position model. The record is from RNAcentral.